AGGAAAUGAAAAUUAUCAGCACCUGCUGGUAUGCCCAGCUCCAUGAGAUGUUAGAACUGGACCUAAUAAAUGACAGCAAUGGCUUCUGAUAUUUUAUCCCCUUUAACAAAAUCCUUGAGCACUCCCAUGGCUGUGCAUUAUGACAGAGGCAAAAUGCAUUAAUGCCAAAAAUCUGGACAAAUGGAAGAGAAUGUAACUGAACUACAAGGGCACUUAUUCUGGAUGUGCAAUUGGAUCUAUUCAUGUGUAUAUUUUAAAGCUGAGAAGUUUUGUGUCUACUUUACUAAGAGUGAUUAGCCCAGCACUCUGAAAUGCACAGAGUGAAAGGAGGAAGUCUGGAAGAUUGUGGAAAAUGCCAUCAGAAUAUGAAAAGCUUGGAUCCUUCUUUCAGCUCACUGAUAUCUCCCUGUGUCUAAUAUACCACACCCUCAUGGUCUCCAGAGACUGAAGCCCCCUUCACCAGAGAUCUGCUGUCCAAACCAGCAUGCUGUGUUAUGCCAACCCAGUGCCUUGUCAGCAUGGCAGACAGAAUACAGGGCUUUUGUGUUCCACCCACCCCCUCAUCUCUCAGGUUUUAUUCCACUUCUCUGAACAGUGGACACAUUCCUGCCAGUCUCAGUGUUUUAAUUUAAUUUGGGCACAGGCUAUAUAAAACUGAACAGAUGUCUGAAAGAAGUGAAGACCAUAAAAUGAACCUCAUAAUCAGCUUCAUUUGAACCAAGCAAUAUUUUUUUUGUCUCUGUUGCCACAAAGUUCACACAUGACUUGGGUGUGACAAGAGGAUGCAACAUGGAGAGAGGAGGAUUGUGGUGAGGAAUGAGAUUUCAAGAUUUGAAAUUCUUGUAUGACUCCCUGGAAGAAGUAAGGUAUUGUUCGCAGAGAUCUAAAACUGGAAAACAUUUUAGUUAAAAGCAGUGACAUCAAUGAAGUAAAUGCAGUGAAAUUAAACAUAAAGGUUUUCCAUCCUUUCAGUCAACUCACCACUUCCAUCAGUAGAAACCACCAUGGCCAGCUGCUCUUUUUUCAUGGCCUUGCUUUAUGUACUCAUUUGGAACAGCAACUAGCACCCUCUGUCAUCUCUCCUGCGAGGUCCAAUUUCCAUCCCAAAUAUGUGCUUACCCCAGUGUGUGGGACUGAUUAAUAUUUGGUGCUGAAAUGGAAGCUGAAAAUCCCCCAACACCACAAAAGCAGUUUCAGCUAACUCACCUGCAGCCACAUAAUUGCUCUAGCUGACCUAAGGGAGGUGGUGGAAUCCUGUGUGUAGGAAGAGGGUGGAACUGCAGUUCACAUUUUCAGACUAUUAUUUCCUCCCCUAUCCAGAUAUGAAGAACAGGUAGGCACCUUCCUACUGUCAGCAAUCUGUUAUUUCACUUCUCUCCUGGUCUCUUGUUCUUUAAAGAGAACAGACAACUACCAAACAUGCUUUGACACAGUGAUAACACUUUGACAACAAACAAGCCCACAGAUCUUGCUGUGAACUCAGCCAUAUCUCCCAUGAUGCAGCAGAUAAAAAUCUCACUGAGAUGGCCCCAAACCAGCAUCUUUCUGACAUGUGACUGAAAUAAUAUGAACCCAUGAAGUUAUCAGUGCCUGUGACUACAGCCAACAGUGUGACAUUUGGAGCACAGGUGUCAUUAUGUACAUGCUCAAACUUGGAAGAAAAGCUUUUGAACUAAUAAGAAGGGAAGACCUCUGCUUUGAAAAAUUUGGUCUGGGAAGCAGUUACCAAGGCUGGUAACUAACACAAUGGUCUAACAGAAGAAAUGUUGGCUCCAUUGCAAUGAAUUCCACAAUUAUAGUAGUUGUGAUAUUUUUCUUAGCUUUUAAGUAGUUCAUGUUUUCUGAAGAGCAAAAAUGAUGUUAAAAAUAAAUUGACAUAAAUGAUAUUGUGAACUAAUUUCAUGGCACUGUAAGAAGAAAGAUCUCUGUUGUAUUAAAGCGCUCAGUUGAAAA
Molecule: non-coding RNA, 1953 nt
Organism: Cyanistes caeruleus (blue tit)
Lineage: Eukaryota; Metazoa; Chordata; Aves; Passeriformes; Paridae
Source: RefSeq, a predicted model, not a curated record